CCUGCAGAACUACAAGGACACGUUAAAAAGAGCCCAGUGCACAAGCCCAGAUCCAGAGCUUGUUUCUGGAGCGCUGAUCAAUGUGGCAAAGCACCUGGGAAACCUGCAGGUCAGAGUUUUGGAGAAGAUGCUGAAGUCUGUUCAAUACACGCCUGUGAUUCUGGACCCCAACACUGCCCAUCCAU
This is a long non-coding RNA of Oncorhynchus gorbuscha (pink salmon), 185 nucleotides long. RefSeq lists it as uncharacterized. Lineage: Eukaryota; Metazoa; Chordata; Actinopteri; Salmoniformes; Salmonidae. The record is from RefSeq and is a predicted model, not a curated record. The transcript has 3 exons.